This 468-nucleotide ribosomal RNA is filed under the name uncultured bacterium. Its description in RNAcentral is "partial 16S ribosomal RNA". It matches the Rfam family "Bacterial small subunit ribosomal RNA", at positions 28 to 507 of the family's 1533-position model. The record is from RNAcentral.
GACGAACGCUGGCGGCGUGCUUAACACAUGCAAGUCGAACGGAAAGGCCCUGCUUUUGUGGGGUGCUCGAGUGGCGAACGGGUGAGUAACACGUGAGUAACCUGCCCUUGACUUUGGGAUAACUUCAGGAAACUGGGGCUAAUACCGGAUAGGAGCUCCUGCUGCAUGGUGGGGGUUGGAAAGUUUCGGCGGUUGGGGAUGGACUCGCGGCUUAUCAGCUUGUUGGUGGGGUAGUGGCUUACCAAGGCUUUGACGGGUAGCCGGCCUGGGAGGGUGAACGGCGACAAUAGGACUGAGGGACGGCCCAGACUCCAACGGGAGACAGCGGUGGGGAGUAUGACACAGUGAGCGGGAGCCUGAGACGGCAGCGCCGCGUGCGGGAUGACGGCCUUCGGGGUGUAAACCGCUUUCGCCUGUGACGAAGCGUGAGUGACGGUAAUGGAUAAAGAAGCACCGGCUAACUACGUG